This 825-nucleotide non-coding RNA is filed under the name Pongo abelii (Sumatran orangutan). The record is from RNAcentral. Lineage: Eukaryota; Metazoa; Chordata; Mammalia; Primates; Hominidae.
CUCUGCAUAUUUUCCUAAGGCAGCCUUCAAAUGGUGAUGUUUCCUGUCAUCCAGAGUUCAGAAGUGCCUUCUCUUCAACCUUUCUGUGGAAUUCUAAACCACGUGAUAAAGGAGCUGGUGGCCACAGAUCAGCCCUGGGGUUCAGAGGGAUCCUGACGGCUACUCCUCAAGAUCCUCUCUGUUGUGAUUCAUCCCCCCCAGGCCCUACAGUUUCUCCUUCCUGACUCUUACAUUUCUUUGGAUGGCAUCACUAUUUAGAAACUAACUACUAAGUCUCUAUUGGUCAACCAUGUUGGCCAGGCUGGUCUUGAACCCUAGACCUUGUGAUCCACCCGCUUCGGCCUCCAAAAGUGCUAGGAUUACAGGCAUGAGCCACCGUGCCCGGCCCAGAGAGUCUUAAAUACCUGUCUCCUCCCAUAGUUAGUUGCCAAGCACUGUGGAUUCUACCCCUCAGGGUCCAGACACCCAUUUUCCUUCCCACUGUUCCCUCCCCAUGGAGAAGCCUGUGGCUGACUGACAGCUCAACUUGGAGAAGGUGUUACCUGGGCCAGGUGGGGAAGGUAGGGUUGUUUGCAGAGCAAAGAAGUGAAGGAAGUAUUAACCCUUUGCAUGGCCUCCUGAGAAUCUGACAAGACGUAAAUAGCCAAGAAUAUCUGUGGAACUUAAUCAGUGAGUUACAAUAUUUAUCACUGCAAGUGUGUUGUUCAUUGACACUAUAAAGCCAUAUGGAAUUAAGCAGCCUUGAAACACAAAAUGGAGAAAGGCUAAGAGCUGAGAAUUGUUGCCUUCAGGGAAAUAUAAUCAAUGUCAAGCAAACAACCACCC